UCCUGACCCUAAACAGACAUUAAAUGGACUGAAACCAACACUUUGAAGCAGAUCCUGCACAGCUUCAUCAACAGGAUGAGAAGAAGGAGGAAGCAGUGACUUACACCUUGAAGAAAGUAUCAAACCACAUCUCCUAGUCGAUUGCAAGAACCCAGAUGACACAUUAAAUGGAGAGAAAUAAGAAAAUCCCCCUGACUCUUCUGCUUGCUCUGCUUCUAGUCUGUGCUGUCAGACCGGAUGACGGUUGCAAGGCACAACUGAAGAGUCUCACCUGCUACAAUGACUACAAUAGUAACAUCACUUGUGUGUGGGACAGCACAGAUGUGCC
Long non-coding RNA from Scomber japonicus (chub mackerel), 328 nucleotides. RefSeq lists it as uncharacterized. NCBI's taxonomy places the organism in Eukaryota, Metazoa, Chordata, Actinopteri, Scombriformes, Scombridae. The record is from RefSeq and is a predicted model, not a curated record. The transcript is spliced from 4 exons.